UUGUUAAGUCAGAUGUGAAAUCCCCGGGCUCAACCUGGGAACUGCAUCUGAUACUGGCAAGCUUGAGUCUCGUAGAGGGGGGUAGAAUUCCAGGUGUAGCGGUGAAAUGCGUAGAGAUCUGGAGGAAUACCGGUGGCGAAGGCGGCCCCCUGGACGAAGACUGACGCUCAGGUGCGAAAGCGUGGGGAGCAAACAGGAUUAGAUACCCUGGUAGUCCACGCCGUAAACGAUGUCGACUUGGAGGUUGUGCCCUUGAGGCGUGGCUUCCGGAGCUAACGCGUUAAGUCGACCGCCUGGGGAGUACGGCCGCAAGGUUAAAACUCAAAUGAAUUGACGGGGGCCCGCACAAGCGGUGGAGCAUGUGGUUUAAUUCGAU
RNAcentral lists this ribosomal RNA (376 nucleotides) under Escherichia coli. RNAcentral's name for it is "bacterial SSU rRNA". It matches the Rfam family "Bacterial small subunit ribosomal RNA", at positions 580 to 955 of the family's 1533-position model. The record is from RNAcentral. Lineage: Bacteria; Pseudomonadati; Pseudomonadota; Gammaproteobacteria; Enterobacterales; Enterobacteriaceae.